UUCAAUCAUAAGAAGUCUCCCUUUACUACAGCGAUGCUCACGGCUCCACGGCUCGUCACAAUGCCAACAUAACCCCUUCGCAUAUCGCUCCCGAAGCUCUUCUCUUGUUAACCUCUUUGGUGUAGGGACUUGGUCGAUAGUAGGGGGGGCUGAGGGCUUCAAUAUUACUGGUUGAGGAGCGACCCUAGUCCUUCGAGCUUCAUGGUUCAAUU
RNAcentral lists this long non-coding RNA (212 nucleotides) under Musa acuminata (dwarf banana). RNAcentral's name for it is "long non-coding RNA (MACU_LNC011463)". The record is from RNAcentral. Lineage: Eukaryota; Viridiplantae; Streptophyta; Magnoliopsida; Zingiberales; Musaceae.